GUUGAGCAAGUUGAAGAUGAA
RNAcentral lists this microRNA (21 nucleotides) under Glycine max (soybean). RNAcentral describes it as "gma-miR5041-3p". The record is from miRBase by way of RNAcentral. Lineage: Eukaryota; Viridiplantae; Streptophyta; Magnoliopsida; Fabales; Fabaceae.